UACGAAGGGGGCUAGCGUUGUUCGGAAUUACUGGGCGUAAAGCGCACGUAGGCGGACUCUUAAGUCAGGGGUGAAAUCCCGGGGCUCAACCCCGGAACUGCCUUUGAUACUGGUAGUCUCGAGUCCGGAAGAGGUGAGUGGAAUUCCGAGUGUAGAGGUGAAAUUCGUAGAUAUUCGGAGGAACACCAGUGGCGAAGGCGGCUCACUGGUCCGGUACUGACGCUGAGGUGCGAAAGCGUGGGGAGCAAACAGG
Molecule: ribosomal RNA, 253 nt
Filed under: uncultured bacterium
Lineage: Bacteria
Description: partial 16S ribosomal RNA
Rfam family: Bacterial small subunit ribosomal RNA
Source: RNAcentral